UACGGAGGGUGCAAGCGUUAUCCGGAUUUACUGGGUUUAAAGGGUGCGUAGGCGGGCUUUUAAGUCAGUGGUGAAAACUUCGAGCUUAACUCGAAAACUGCCAUUGAUACUAUUAGUCUUGAAUUUAGUUGAGGUUGGCGGAAUGUGUCGUGUAGCGGUGAAAUGCUUAGAUAUGACACAGAACACCGAUUGCGAAGGCAGCUGGCUAAACUAAAAUUGACGCUGAGGCACGAAAGUGUGGGGAUCAAACAGG
RNAcentral lists this ribosomal RNA (253 nucleotides) under Chitinophagaceae bacterium. RNAcentral describes it as "partial 16S ribosomal RNA". It matches the Rfam family "Bacterial small subunit ribosomal RNA", at positions 524 to 776 of the family's 1533-position model. RNAcentral also lists the same sequence under 1 other name. The record is from RNAcentral. Lineage: Bacteria; Pseudomonadati; Bacteroidota; Chitinophagia; Chitinophagales; Chitinophagaceae.